Molecule: unclassified non-coding RNA, 1404 nt
Filed under: Hevea brasiliensis (rubber tree)
Lineage: Eukaryota; Viridiplantae; Streptophyta; Magnoliopsida; Malpighiales; Euphorbiaceae
Source: RNAcentral
AAACCAAAACCAUCUAGAACAAGGCCUGGAGUCGAGUCGGCCGAGGACAAAUCUAGCUAGUAGCUACCCAUUGCCAUCCGGCUAUAACUAUAAUGCCAACUGUUAGACCGAUGACUCCAGUAUUCACAAGUACUCCGGAAUCAAUACCAGUAAUGUGAAGAAAAUCAGCUGCAAACAGAAUGAAAGAAACUUGCCAUUCUCUUCAGCUGCAAACAGAAGGAAAUCUUACAAUGAUUUCCUUAAACCACUAAAAACCAAAGCUUUUGGUUAAAAAAACACAAUGAGGGGAAAAGACUGCUCUGUCUCUUCUUAUUCUGACCUAGCUGUGAGUUUAACAGUGUUGACUUACUGCUUAACCAAAAGAAAAUGAGAAGAAAAUUAUGAUUAUGCUCGUUUUGUGCGCCUUCCAACUUCAAGCGCCAACUCUGUAUCGAUUUUGAGAGAGAUGUCAAGUGCUCUUACAGAAUGUGUCAGUGCACCACUAGAAAUGUAUGUUACACCAGUCUGUCCAAUUUUGCUCACUGUUUCAAGAGUAACAUUCCCUGAUGCCUCAGUCUCAAAUCUUCCAUUGAUCAAUUCCACAGCAUUUUUAAGCAUAGAUACAUCAACAUCUCCAUUUGGCAGUGGUAUAACCAUAUUAUCCAACAUUAUCCGGGUCAAGGAAGUCUGUGUGUGUGAUGUGUAAUGUAACACCUCAUUUACUUCCUCAAGUGUUCUGGUCUCAACCUCAACCUCCAUUUGAAGGUUCUUUUGCUCUAAAUACUGAUCAACAGAUUUAAUGGCAUUUAUGAUACCCCCUGCUAUUGAUAUAUGAUUAUCUUUUAUCAUUACCAUAUCGAAUAAACCCAUUCUAUGAUUUCUACCUCCACCAAUUAGCACCGCCCACUUAUCAAUCAAACGUAGACCAGGAGCUGUUUUUCGAGUCUCUAAAAUAAAUGCAGGGCUUGCAGCAUCUGCCAUUGCCUUAGUUAGUGUUGCUAUUCCACUCAUCCUCUGCAUAAAAUUCAAUGCCACCCUUUCUGCUACAACAAUAUUGUGUGCUCGUCCAGAGACUUUUCCAAAUUGCAGUCCUUUAUGAACAUAAUCACCGUCCUUCCGAGACCAUUCCACCUGCAGAGAUGGAUCAACCUCAUGAAAUAUCAUCUCUGCUAAAGCAAUUCCUGCUAUGAUACCAUCCUCUUUUGCCAAAAAAUGGGCCUCCACUUCCAUGUUAAAAGGAAUGGUUGCUGUACAAGUCACAUCUCCUCUAUCCCCAGAAUCUUCAGCAAGAGCUAGCUUAAUGACGCCCUUUAAAUCAUAGGUAGGAUGAGAUGGAGGCUUUAUAGUCAUUGAUUGGAACAAUGUAUUGGGAUUUUUGGUUUCAACAGCAGACAUUCUAACAAUUCGUCUUGAAGAAUACAAAUG